Molecule: ribosomal RNA, 433 nt
Filed under: uncultured bacterium
Lineage: Bacteria
Description: partial 16S ribosomal RNA
Rfam family: Bacterial small subunit ribosomal RNA
Source: RNAcentral
AACGAACGCUGGCGGCAUGCCUAACACAUGCAAGUCGAACGAGACCUUCGGGUCUAGUGGCGCACGGGUGCGUAACGCGUGGGAACCUGCCCUUAGGUUCGGAGUAACUCCCCGAAAGGGGUGCUAAUACCGGAUAAUGUCUUCGGACCAAAGAUUUAUCGCCUUUGGAUGGGCCCGCGUUGGAUUAGCUAGUUGGUAGGGUAAAAGCCUACCAAGGCGACGAUCCAUAGCUGGUCUGAGAGGAUGAUCAGCCACACUGGGACUGAGACACGGCCCAGACUCCUACGGGAGGCAGCAGUAGGGAAUAUUGGACAAUGGGCGAAAGCCUGAUCCAGCAAUGCCGCGUGAGUGAUGAAGGCCUUAGGGUUGUAAAGCUCUUUUACCCGGGAUGAUAAUGACAGUACCGGGAGAAUAAGCUCCGGCUAACUCCGUG